RNAcentral lists this ribosomal RNA (223 nucleotides) under uncultured bacterium. Its description in RNAcentral is "partial 16S ribosomal RNA". It matches the Rfam family "Bacterial small subunit ribosomal RNA", at positions 109 to 334 of the family's 1533-position model. The record is from RNAcentral.
UAAUAGUUAUGGGGAGUCUGUCCGAUAGAGGGGGAUAACUACUGGAAACGGUGGCUAAUACCGCAUAAUGUCUACGGACCAAAGCAGGGGCUCUUCGGACCUUGCACUAUCGGAUGAACCCAUAUGGGAUUAGCUAGUAGGUGGGGUAAAGGCUCACCUAGGCGACGAUCUCUAGCUGGUCUGAGAGGAUGAUCAGCCACACUGGGACUGAGACACGGCCCAG